UAUUUUUUAAAGGUUGAUGUUCUAAAGUUUCAUGUUGUGUCGGCUGACUCCUGCUCUGCUCUCUGAUUGGUAGAACCUGUCAGAGAAGGAGGAGCCUAACUACCUUUCUGCGGCGGCCUCUCCCUCCUCUCUUCCCCCUCGUCACUUUUGCUGCGUCUGUGGGUUUCCCUCCCACUACACCUGUACCACCUGCGGGGGGCGCUACUGCAGCAGCAAGUGUCUGAUAACACACAGAGAAACCAGGUGUUUGAAGUGGACACUCUAACUGCUGCCUCGUCGCCAUGGUGAAGAUGAUUAUUAUGGGAUGUUGCAGCGUGAUCUCUUGAGGUUUUGUUGGUGGUCGUUUUUGUUUGUGAGCAGAAAGAAGCACACACAAAUAGGCGGUAGGUCAUUUCAGAGGACUUUAGCCAUGACCUCACAGGUCAGUGAUGAUGUCACAGUGUACCUGAGUGAUGUCACAGAGUACACCUGUACUUCACUGCAGCACGUAAGAAUUCAACCACAGGAGGUACAAAAAAAAGCCUAAUUGUUGUUAAGUUAUUUUGGAACUUGUGUUUCCCCCGCUAUGUUAGAAUAUUUGUCCAAGUCUUGGCUAGCUUAGCUUAGCAUAAAGGGUCCAGAAAACAGAAAACUUUAACAUUUUUUAUAAAUGUAAUUACAUUCUUACAUUAGUCUCAAACUGGAAACUGAAAUCAUAUCUGACUCAUCGGCAUGUAGACGCAGCACACCAUGCUAUAUGCUAACGUGCUAAUAUAACUGUGAGAAUGCUAAGCUAAGCUAACAUGAGCUUCUGUUUCUGUAGUCCUCUUCCGCACAGACGUGUCAGUCAUGUUUGUUUGUGAAUAAUUGAUGUUUGAUUGUAGAUUAUUUUUUAAUUAAAGGACAACUGAUGUUUAAAA
This is a long non-coding RNA of Labrus bergylta (ballan wrasse), 899 nucleotides long. RefSeq lists it as uncharacterized. The record is from RefSeq and is a predicted model, not a curated record. Lineage: Eukaryota; Metazoa; Chordata; Actinopteri; Labriformes; Labridae.